RNAcentral lists this ribosomal RNA (253 nucleotides) under uncultured Eubacteriales bacterium. RNAcentral's name for it is "uncultured Clostridiales bacterium partial 16S ribosomal RNA". It matches the Rfam family "Bacterial small subunit ribosomal RNA", at positions 524 to 776 of the family's 1533-position model. Lineage: Bacteria; Bacillati; Bacillota; Clostridia; Eubacteriales. The record is from RNAcentral.
UACGGAGGGUGCAAGCGUUAUCCGGAAUUACUGGGUGUAAAGGGAGCGUAGACGGUAAUGUAAGUCUGGAGUGAAAGGCGGGGGCCCAACCCCCGGACUGCUCUGGAAACUAUGUUACUGGAGUGCAGGAGAGGUAAGCGGAAUUCCUAGUGUAGCGGUGAAAUGCGUAGAUAUUAGGAGGAACACCAGUGGCGAAGGCGGCCUGCUGGGCCAUUACUGACGCUCAUGCACGAAAGCGUGGGGAGCAAACAGG